Molecule: long non-coding RNA, 2606 nt
Organism: Ictalurus punctatus (channel catfish)
Lineage: Eukaryota; Metazoa; Chordata; Actinopteri; Siluriformes; Ictaluridae
Source: Ensembl
CGAGAAUAUUCAGUCUUCUUAUUGAAGAGAUAUUGGGGUAGCUGAGAGAAGGAGAGGAAGAUGGAGAGAGGCGUCAAGAGCGUUCAUUCAUUUGUUCAUUCAUUUGUUGGGUAGGAUUGUGGUGGAUGUUGGGCCUAUCCUGGGAAUCCAUCCUGGAUGCUAGUCUACUGCAACAGACAGACAGACAGACAGACAGACAGAUACUGUAGGUAAAUAGGUAGGUAGGUAGGUAGGUAGAUAGAUAGAUAGAUAGAUAGAUAGAUAGAUAGAUAGAUAGAUAGAUAGAUAGAUAGAUAGAUAGAGAAACAAACUGAGAGACAGACAGACAAAGAAAACAUAUAGAUACAUACAUACAUAGAUAUUGUAGGUAGAUAGAUAGAUAGAUAGAUAGAUAGAUAGAUAGAUAGAUAGAUAGUAUAGAUAGAUACAUAGAUAGUAUAGACAGAUAGAUAGAUAGAUAGAUAGAUAGAUAGAUAGAUAGAUAGUAUAGACAGAUAGAUAGAUAGAUAGAUAGAUAGAUAGAUAGUAUAGAUAGAUAGAUAGAUAGAUAGAUAGUAUAGACAGAUAGAUAGAUAGAUAGAUAGAUAGAUAGAUAGAUAGAUAGAGAAACAAACUGAGAGACAGACAGACAAAGAAAACAUAUAGAUACAUACAUACAUAGAUAUUGUAGAUAGAUCGAUAGAUAGAUAGAUAGAUAGAUAGAUAGAUAGAUAGAUAGAUAUUGUAGAUAGAUCGAUAGAUAGAUAGAUAGAUAGAUAGAUAGAUAGAUAGUAUAGAUAGAUACAUAGAUAGUAUAGAUAGAUACAUAGAUAGAUACAUAGAUAGAUAGAUAGUAUAGAUAGAUAGAUAGAUAGAUAGAUAGAUAGAUAGAUAGAUAGAUUUAGUGACAGUUAUCACUGAAAAAAAAUUUUUUAAAAUGGUUGAGUAAAUAAAUAAACAAGCAGUUUAGGCCAAUUUUAAUGCUCCAAUAAAUAUUAAUACAUUUACAAAUCUGAAAUAAAUAUAAAAAUAUUAAUCCAUUCAUCCAGUUUCAAACAUUUAUACAAACAUUUAAAUAAUUAACAAAUAAAAAAUAAAAAAUAAACAUAUAUGCUAAAUAAAUUCAAUUAAAAAAUAAUAAUGUGACAGGAAAGUUAUAUCAAUUCUUUAUUAAUGCUUUAUUUAUUUAAAAAAAAUCUAAACAUCUAGAGCACACUUACACACACACACGCACUUACACACACACACACACACACACACACACUUACACACACACACACACAGCUUGUAAUCCUUUGCUCCAUUCCCUUCCCUGUCAGUCACUUUGUAUCCUCCUCUUCCUCUACAUCAUUUGUCCAAACCUGUCCUUGACAACUGUGUGUGUGUGUGUGUGUGUGUGUGUGUGUGUGUGUGUGUGUGUGUGUGUGUGUGUGUGUGUGUGUGUGUGUGUGAGAGAGAGAGAGAGAGAGAGAGAGAGAAUCCUGGAUUCUGCUGUGUCAGACGGAUCUAGUGGCAUUGCUGCGGGAAACGUGAUCAGCUUUGAGGAAAAAACGCUGCACACAGGAAAAACGAGGCGUCACACACACUUUAAGAAAAACAAGGACAAUACACAUCUGUCUGUCUAUCUGUCUAUCUAUCUAUCUAUCUAUCUAUCUAUCUAUCUAGCCAUCCAUCCAUCCAUCCAUCUAAAGACUACUAAAGAAGUCACCUGGACAAAAGUGUCUCAAUGAGUAUAUAGGAGUGUGUAAUUAAGACCAUUGCUUUCAUUUUGGUUUUGAUCAUGAUUUGUUGUGUGUGUCUCUGUGUGUCUGUGUGUGUGUCUGUGUGUGUGUGUGUGUGUGCGUGUGUGUGUCUGUGUGUGUGAAAACAUUAUUCAUAAAAGAAUGUCUGCUUCUCGGCUGAUGAAUCGCGUCAGGCUCUAUAUUAAACGCAGCCCUGUAUUAUAGUCACUGUGUUAUUAUACUGCUCUGAAAUGUGAGUCAUGCACUCGCAUCAAAACCACUGCACUUAUUCACACACUGCCAUGGCAUUCAUCACAAACGCAGCCGUCUGCCUACCGAUUUAUCCUCAGUCUAGUGCAGAAGAUCGAGUCCUCCGUUCUGAUUGGUCAGAAGGUCUGAUUCGUUGAGACAGUAGUUCAGCUAGCCCAGCGUGGGGCACAAGAACAACACUGCGGACAGAUCGGAAAUGCCAGGAAGAGGAAACCGGACCGGAGUACCUGGAGGAAACCCACGGAAGCACGAGGAGAACAUGCAAACUCCACGCACACAGAACAGAGGCCGGAUUCAAACCCCCAGCCCCAGAGGUGCGAGGCCAACGUGCUAACUACUAAGCCAGCGUGUCAUCCAUUCAUAAAUAAAAUCGUAAUCAUUAGCAAAUCGCCGGGCAGUGAGAAGAAUAAAACACUUCGGGACACGCUGUUAUCGUAAAAUAAUCCACGCCAAGGCAUUGCGUUAAAUGUUACUAUAACCGGAUAAAUAGUACAUGUGAUUCUUGAAUAAAUAAAAUGAUCAAAUCGCUGGGAUAUAAGAGGAAUAAAACACCUCCGGACGUGCUGUUAUGGCUCCCAUUAAACGUACUGCAGCUAUUAAAUGUAACUAUAAACGGAUAUAAAUGCUCAACAUGUC